UAUNGCACAAUGGGGGGAACCCUGAUGCAGCNACGCCGCGUGAGUGAAGAAGUAAUUCGUUAUGUAAAGCUCUAUCAGCGGGGAAGAAUAAAUGACGGUACCUGAGUAAGAAGCCCCGGCUAACUACGUUCCAGCAGCCGCGGUAAUACGUAGGGGGCAAGCGUUAUCCGGAUUUACUGGGUGUAAAGGGAGCGUAGACGGCGAUGCAAGCCAGAUGUGAAAGCCCGCGGCUCAACUGCGGUAGUGCAUUUGGAACUGUAUGGCUGGAGUGCAGGAGAGGCAGGCGGAAUUCCUAGUAUAGCGGUGAAAUGCGUAGAUAUUAGGAGGAACACCAGUGGCGAAGGCGGCCUGCUGGACUGUAACUGACGUUGAGGCUCGAAAGCGUGGGGAGCAAACAGG
Molecule: ribosomal RNA, 399 nt
Filed under: uncultured bacterium
Lineage: Bacteria
Description: bacterial SSU rRNA
Rfam family: Bacterial small subunit ribosomal RNA
Source: RNAcentral